RNAcentral lists this ribosomal RNA (496 nucleotides) under uncultured bacterium. RNAcentral describes it as "bacterial SSU rRNA". It matches the Rfam family "Bacterial small subunit ribosomal RNA", at positions 899 to 1397 of the family's 1533-position model. The record is from RNAcentral.
ACUCAAAUGAAUAGACGGGGGCCCGCACAAGCAGUGGAGUAUGUGGUUUAAUUCGAAGCAACGCGAAGAACCUUACCAGGGCUUGACAUCCUGCUAACGAAGCAGAGAUGCAUUAGGUGCCCUUCGGGGAAAGCAGAGACAGGUGGUGCAUGGUUGUCGUCAGCUCGUGUCGUGAGAUGUUGGGUUAAGUCCCGCAACGAGCGCAACCCUUACGGUUAGUUGCUACGCAAGAGCACUCUAGCCGGACUGCCGUUGACAAAACGGAGGAAGGCGGGGACGACGUCAAAUCAUCAUGCCCCGUAUGUCCUGGGCUACACACGUACUACAAUGGCGGUCAUACAGAGGGAAGCAAUACAGUGAUGUGGAGCAAAACCCUAAAAGCCGCCUCAGUUCAGAUUGCAGGCUGCAACUCGCCUGCAUGAAGUCGGAAUUGCUAGUAAUCGCGGAUCAGCAUGCCGCGGUGAAUACGUUCCCGGGCCUUGCACACACCGCCCGU